AUGCAAUAUUGUCUUUGCUCCCAAUCUUCAUUAACCUUCUCCAACGCAACACCAAUUUGCGCACAUAUCAUUGCAUCAACAAAUGCUCCUUCUUCGAAAAUAUUCGACGAAUUUGCAAACAUCUCGCAUCACGCGCAAAAAGUAAGAAAUUGUGUAGAAUCAGAAAAGAGAAGAAGAGAGAUGUUUGAAAGUGACGGGGCAUACCUGAAAGACCUCUGGUUUUCCGUUUGA
Vicia faba (fava bean) is the source of this 231-nucleotide non-coding RNA. NCBI's taxonomy places the organism in Eukaryota, Viridiplantae, Streptophyta, Magnoliopsida, Fabales, Fabaceae. The record is from the annotation of a GenBank genome assembly.